UAUUCUCACACUUCCGAUCUUUGGGUUGGGAGCGGUGGACUUGGGUUUGCUGCUUCACCGUGGCUCACCUCAAAUAGGUUAGUGCAGCUCUUGGUUGGACAUAGUACGGCGUGAUAAGUGUUUUUCGCCGGUGCCUCGCAAAGAGGGUGGCCGAUCGGGAUGUUGUGCUCCAAACCGUCUUCGGACAAUCUCUGACG
This 197-nucleotide unclassified non-coding RNA is filed under the name uncultured Sebacina. Its description in RNAcentral is "partial internal transcribed spacer 2". The record is from RNAcentral. Lineage: Eukaryota; Fungi; Basidiomycota; Agaricomycetes; Sebacinales; Sebacinaceae.